GGACCAACUGUCACUUGAACAAGAAGCCGUUCCUAACUUUGCCUGUUGCUCUUAUGAGGAACCAUUGCAUUUAUGGACUUUGGCAAGAAGGGUGCUUUCAUCAAUCUUUCUCAUCUCUUUCACCAAAAUGAGAACUAGAGGAAAAUGGAGGUCUCCUGGCAAUGGAUUACAAGAAGGAAUGCUGCCACUUUCAGGAACCCAAGAUCAAGGUGCUGGCAAGGCCGUACUCCCUCGGAAGGCUGUGGGGAAGGAUCCUUGCCUCUUCUGGCUUCUCAUGGUGCUCCUCGGUCUACAGCUGUGUGACUUCAACCUCUGCCUCUGUCAUCAUCUCCUUCCCUUCUUCCCUCUUUGUCCAUGUCCAAAUUUUCCUUCUCUUAUAAGGACAUCAGUCAUUGGAUUAAGGCCCAUCCACACCCAGCGGGACCUCAUGUUAACUUACUUAAUCUGCAAAGACCCUCUCUCCAAAUAAAGUCACACGCACACUUA
Long non-coding RNA from Suricata suricatta (meerkat), 486 nucleotides. RefSeq lists it as uncharacterized. The transcript has 4 exons. Lineage: Eukaryota; Metazoa; Chordata; Mammalia; Carnivora; Herpestidae. The record is from RefSeq and is a predicted model, not a curated record.